ACACCCUCAAGCUCUGCUUGGUGUUGGGCGUCUGUCUCCGCUUCACGCGAGGACUCGCCCCAAAUUCAUUGGCAGCGACAUCGUCGGCUUCUCGCGCAGCACAUCGCGCAUGGGAAGGUCCCCGACGGGCUCGCGUCCAUCAAGAAAUCACACA
Molecule: unclassified non-coding RNA, 154 nt
Filed under: uncultured Pleosporales
Lineage: Eukaryota; Fungi; Ascomycota; Dothideomycetes; Pleosporales
Description: sequence contains ITS2
Source: RNAcentral